GGUGAACGCUAGCGGCAGGCCUAACACAUGCAAGUCGAGGGGUAACAUAGGAAAGCUUGCUUUUCUGAUGACGACCGGCGCACGGGUGCGUAACGCGUAUACAACCUACCUUUUAGCGGGGAAUAGCCCAGGGAAACUUGGAUUAAUGCCCCAUAGUAUAUAGACUUCUCCUGAAGUUCAUAUUAAACAUUUAUGGCUAUUAGAUGGGUAUGCGUCCUAUUAGUUAGUUGGUAAGGUAACGGCUUACCAAGGCAGCGAUAGGUAGGGGUCCUGAGAGGGAGAUCCCCACACUGGUACUGAGACACGGACCAGACUCCUACGGGAGGCAGCAGUGAGGAAUAUUGGACAAUGGGCGAGAGCCUGAUCCAGCCAUGCCGCGUGCAGGAAGACUGCCCUAUGGGUUGUAAACUGCUUUUACAGAGGAAGAACCACCCCCACGUGUGGGGGUUUGACGGUACUCUGCGAAUAAGGAUCGGCUAACUCCGUG
Molecule: ribosomal RNA, 487 nt
Filed under: uncultured bacterium
Lineage: Bacteria
Description: bacterial SSU rRNA
Rfam family: Bacterial small subunit ribosomal RNA
Source: RNAcentral